RNAcentral lists this ribosomal RNA (779 nucleotides) under uncultured bacterium. Its description in RNAcentral is "partial 16S rRNA". It matches the Rfam family "Bacterial small subunit ribosomal RNA", at positions 111 to 909 of the family's 1533-position model. The record is from RNAcentral.
UAACACGUGGAGAACCUGCCCCCUCCCCCGGGAUAGCCGCCCGAAAGGACGGGUAAUACCGGAUACCCCCGGGUGCCGCAUGGCGCCCGGGCUAAAGCCCCGACGGGAGGGGAUGGCUCCGCGGCCCAUCAGGUAGACGGCGGGGUGACGGCCCACCGUGCCGACAACGGGUAGCCGGGUUGAGAGACCGACCGGCCAGAUUGGGACUGAGACACGGCCCAGACUCCUACGGGAGGCAGCAGUGGGGAAUCUUGCGCAAUGGGGGCAACCCUGACGCAGCGACGCCGCGUGCGGGACGGAGGCCUUCGGGUCGUAAACCGCUUUCAGCAGGGAAGAGACGAGACUGUACCUGCAGAAGAAGCCCCGGCUAACUACGUGCCAACAGCCGCGGUAAUACGUAGGGGGCGAGCGUUAUCCGGAUUCAUUGGGCGUAAAGCGCGCGUAGGCGGCCCGGCAGGCCGGGGGUCGAAGCGGGGGGCUCAACCCCCCGAAGCCCCCGGAACCUCCGCGGCUUGGGUCCGGUAGGGGAGGGUGGAACACCCGGUGUAGCGGUGGAAUGCGCAGAUAUCGGGUGGAACACCGGUGGCGAAGGCGGCCCUCUGGGCCGAGACCGACGCUGAGGCGCGAAAGCUGGGGGAGCGAACAGGAUUAGAUACCCUGGUAGUCCCAGCCGUAAACGAUGGACGCUAGGUGUGGGGGGACGAUCCCCCCGUGCCGCAGCCAACGCAUUAAGCGUCCCGCCUGGGGGAGUACGGCCGCAAGGCUAAAACUCAAAGGAA